RNAcentral lists this ribosomal RNA (472 nucleotides) under uncultured bacterium. RNAcentral describes it as "partial 16S ribosomal RNA". It matches the Rfam family "Bacterial small subunit ribosomal RNA", at positions 28 to 507 of the family's 1533-position model. The record is from RNAcentral.
GACGAACGCUGGCGGCGUGCUUAACACAUGCAAGUCGAACGCUGAAGCUUGGUGCUUGCACUGGGUGGAUGAGUGGCGAACGGGUGAGUAAUACGUGAGUAACCUGCCCUUGACUCUGGGAUAAGCCUGGGAAACUGGGUCUAAUACUGGAUAUGACAUGCCACUGCAUGGUGGUGUGUGGAAAGGGUUUUACUGGUUUUGGAUGGGCUCACGGCCUAUCAGCUUGUUGGUGGGGUAAUGGCCUACCAAGGCGACGACGGGUAGCCGGCCUGAGAGGGUGACCGGCCACACUGGGACUGAGACACGGCCCAGACUCCUACGGGAGGCAGCAGUGGGGAAUAUUGCACAAUGGGCGGAAGCCUGAUGCAGCGACGCCGCGUGAGGGAUGACGGCCUUCGGGUUGUAAACCUCUUUCAGCACUGAAGAAGCGAGAGUGACGGUACGUGCAGAAGAAGCGCCGGCUAACUACGUG